CCUACGGGUGGCAGCAGUGAGGAAUAUUGGUCAAUGGACGAGAGUCUGAACCAGCCAAGUAGCGUGAAGGAUGACUGCCCUACGGGUUGUAAACUUCUUUUAUAUGGGAAUAAAGUGUUCCACGUGUGGGAUUUUGUAUGUACCAUAUGAAUAAGGAUCGGCUAACUCCGUGCCAGCAGCCGCGGUAAUACGGAGGAUCCGAGCGUUAUCCGGAUUUAUUGGGUUUAAAGGGAGCGUAGGUGGAUUGUUAAGUCAGUUGUGAAAGUUUGCGGCUCAACCGUAAAAUUGCAGUUGAUACUGGCAGUCUUGAGUACAGUAGAGGUGGGCGGAAUUCGUGGUGUAGCGGUGAAAUGCUUAGAUAUCACGAAGAACUCCGAUUGCGAAGGCAGUUCACUGGACUGCAACUGACACUGAUGCUCGAAAGUGUGGGUAUCAAACAGGAUUAGAUACCCCAGUAGUC
RNAcentral lists this ribosomal RNA (460 nucleotides) under uncultured bacterium. RNAcentral describes it as "partial 16S ribosomal RNA". It matches the Rfam family "Bacterial small subunit ribosomal RNA", at positions 338 to 795 of the family's 1533-position model. The record is from RNAcentral.